ACCAGGUCACGCAUCCACGGGUUUAAAAGUCUGCACAGCCUCAAGAGCCUCAACUUGAUAAAAGCCAUGGGUGUCUCCAAAGUGUGGGAUCGGCAGCCUAAACAAAACAAAAUGGUCAGCGGAACAUCCUUCAAAGAACUUCUUGAAAAAGGUUCACAAAAACUUGGCCUUCCAAAAAAAGGGCAUAUACUGGUCCUGGAAACUGACGGAACUGAGAUUGAUGACGACGAAAUCUUAUUGGAGAUGCAAUCAGAAACUUUAAUAAUACUGAUGGAAGGAGAGAUCCCACAGAUACCCACAGAAGAACAAGCGAGCAUAACAUCAAUUGAGCAGAAGUCUGAUUCCGAAAAAAUAAAUGAAAUCCUAUCCCUUGACUCCGCAGCGUACAUGGAAUCUUUU
This is a long non-coding RNA of Acipenser ruthenus (sterlet), 399 nucleotides long. RefSeq lists it as uncharacterized. The transcript is spliced from 3 exons. The record is from RefSeq and is a predicted model, not a curated record. NCBI's taxonomy places the organism in Eukaryota, Metazoa, Chordata, Actinopteri, Acipenseriformes, Acipenseridae.